Molecule: ribosomal RNA, 254 nt
Filed under: uncultured bacterium
Lineage: Bacteria
Description: partial 16S ribosomal RNA
Rfam family: Bacterial small subunit ribosomal RNA
Source: RNAcentral
GACGGAGGAUGCAAGCGUUAUCCGGAAUGAUUGGGCGUAAAGCGUCCGCAGGUGGCAGUUCAAGUCUGCUGUCAAAGACCGGGGCUUAACUUCGGAAAGGCAGUGGAAACUGAACAGCUAGAGUAUGGUAGGGGCAGAGGGAAUUCCUGGUGUAGCGGUGAAAUGCGUAGAGAUCAGGAAGAACAUCGGUGGCGAAGGCGCUCUGCUGGACCAUAACUGACACUCAGGGACGAAAAGCUAGGGGAGCGAAAGGG